Molecule: ribosomal RNA, 2578 nt
Filed under: freshwater sediment metagenome
Description: bacterial LSU rRNA
Rfam family: Bacterial large subunit ribosomal RNA
Source: RNAcentral
GAUAGCCCCGUAGACGAAACCCGAUCACGCUAGAGGUUCCCAAGUACCGCGGGACACGAGAAAUCCCGUGGGAAUCCAGGAGGACCAUCUCCUAAGGCUAAAUACUCGUCUCUGACCGAUAGUGAACUAGUACCGUGAGGGAAAGGUGAAAAGUACUCCGAUAAGGAGGGUGAAAUAGAACCUGAAACCGUAUGCCUACAAGCAGUCGGAGCACCAUGUAUAUCAGGUGUGACGGCGUGCCUUUUGCAUAAUGAGUCAGCGAGUUACUCUUGCUAGCGAGGUUAAGUUCAUAGAACGGAGCCGAAGCGAAAGCGAGUCUUAACUGGGCGUCCAGUUAGCAGGAGUAGACCCGAAACCGGGUGAUCUAUCCAUGGCCAGGGUGAAAGGAAGGUAACACUUCGUGGAGGCCCGAACCCACUGGCGUUGAAAAGCCAGGGGAUGAGCUGUGGAUAGGAGUGAAAGGCUAAUCAAACUCGGAGAUAGCUGGUUUUCCUCGAAAUAUAUUUAGGUAUAGCCUCGCGUAUACGUGACGGGGGUAGAGCACUGGAUGGGCUAGGGGUCUCACCAGAUUACCAAACCCAAUCAAACUCCGAAUACCGUCAACGAUCAGCGCGGGAGUCAGACGGCGGGUGAUAAGAUCCGUCGUCAAAAGGGAAAGAGCCCAGACCGUCAGCUAAGGUCCCCAAAUUCAUGCUAAGUGGAAAACGAUGUGGAAAUGCCCAGACAGCCAGGAUGUUGGCUUAGAAGCAGCCAUCCUUUAAAGAAAGCGUAAUAGCUCACUGGUCGAGUCGUUCUGCGCGGAAGAUGUAACGGGGCUAAGCACGUAACCGAAGCUUCGGAUACUAGUUUACUAGUAUGGUAGGAGAGCGUUCUGUAGGCCUGCGAAGGUGUUCUGUGAGGAAUGCUGGAGGUAUCAGAAGUGCGAAUGCUGACAUGAGUAGCGAUAAAGGGAGUGAAAAGCUCCCUCGCCGAAAACCCAAGGUUUCCUGCGCAACGUUCAUCGGCGCAGGGUGAGUCGGCCCCUAAGGUGAGGCAGAGAUGCGUAGCUGAUGGGAAACAGGUUAAUAUUCCUGUACCUGUAUACAAUGCGAUGUGGGGACGGAGAAGGUUAGGUCAGCCGGGUGUUGGAUGUCCCGGUUCAAGCGUGUAGGCAGAUUCUUUAGGCAAAUCCGGAGAGUCAAUGCCGAGGCGUGAUAACGAGCGUACUUGUACGUGAAGUGAUUGAUACCAUGCUUCCAAGAAAAGCCACUAAGCUUCAGUUGUAUAGAGACCGUACCGCAAACCGACACAGGUGGGUAGGAUGAGAAUUCUAAGGCGCUUGAGAGAACCCGGGAGAAGGAACUCGGCAAAUUAGCACCGUAACUUCGGGAGAAGGUGCGCCCUGGUAGUGUGAAGUGAUUUACUCAUGGAGCACGAAAGGGUUGCAGUGAAAAGGUGGCUGCGACUGUUUAACAAAAACACAGCACUCUGCCAAGUCGUGAAGACGACGUAUAGGGUGUGACACGUGACCAAUGCGGAAAGAUCAAGGCGACUUGUUAGCCGCAAGGCGAAGCUCGGAACCUAAGUCCCCGUGAAUGUCGGCCGUAACUAUAACGGUCCUAAGGUAGCGAAAUUCCUUGUCGGGUAAGUUCCGACCUGCACGAAUCGUGUAACGACUGAACGACUGUCUCGGAGAGGAUCUCGGCGAAAUUGUAUCGGCGGUGAAGAUGCCGCCUGCCCGCAGUAGGACGGAAAGACCCUAUGCACCUUUACUGUAAGCUCGUAUUGUGUUCUGGUUCAUGAUGCUUAGCGUAGGUGGGAGACUUUGAAGCAGUGGCUUCGGUUGCUGCUGAGUCGCAAUGUGAAACACCACUCUUUGUGAACUAGGAUUCUAACCCCAUGCUGUUAGCCAGCUGGGGGACAGUGCGUGCGGGUCAGUUUGACUGGGGCGGUUUCCUCCCAAAUGGUAACGGAGGAGCGCGAAGGUACUCUCAGCAUGGUUUGCAACCAUGCGUCGAGCGUAUGGGUAGAAGAGUGCUUAACUGUGAGACCAACAAGUCGAACAGGUACGAAAGUAGGCCCAAAUGAUCCGAUGGUUGAAUGUGGAAUUGCCAUCGCUCAACGGACAAAAGGUACGCUGGGGAUAACAGGCUGAUCAAUUCCAAGAGUUCACAUCGACGAUGCGGUUUGGCACCUCGAUGUCGGCUUAUCACAUCCUGGGGCUGGAGAAGGUCCCAAGGGUCCGGCUGUUCGCCGGUUAAAGUGGCACAUGAGCUGGGUUCAGAACGUCGUGAGACAGUUCGGUCUGUAUCCGUCGUGGGCGUUGGAAAGUUGAGGGGAGCGGACUCUAGUACGAGAGGACCGAGUCGGACGAUCCGCUCGUGUCCCGGCUGUGGCGCCAGCUGCAACGCCGGGUAGCGAUGAUUGGCUGUGAUAACCGCUGAAUGCAUCUAAGUGGGAAGCACGCCCCAAGAUGAACUUUCCCGAGGCCUUGAGCCUCCUAAAGGGCCGUCAGAGACUAUGACGUCGAUAGGCCGCACGUGGACGUGGAGCAAUCCAUUUCGAGCGCAGCGGUCCUAAUCGCCCGUGUGGCUUGACU